UGUAAACUUUAGGAGUAGCUAUUCAAUUAGUUUGAGAAAGAUCCUUAGAACCUGAUUUGGUUAAUACCAGCGUAGGGAAAAGUUGUUUUCGGUAU
This 95-nucleotide non-coding RNA is filed under the name Tenacibaculum maritimum. RNAcentral describes it as "TPP". It matches the Rfam family "TPP riboswitch aptamer (THI element)". From Rfam's summary of the family: Vitamin B(1) in its active form thiamin pyrophosphate (TPP) is an essential coenzyme that is synthesised by coupling of pyrimidine and thiazole moieties in bacteria. The previously detected thiamin-regulatory element, thi box was extended, resulting in a new, highly conserved RNA secondary structure, the THI element, which is widely distributed in eubacteria and also occurs in some archaea. Analysis of operon structures identified a large number of new candidate thiamin-regulated genes, mostly transporters, in various prokaryotic organisms. Lineage: Bacteria; Pseudomonadati; Bacteroidota; Flavobacteriia; Flavobacteriales; Flavobacteriaceae. The record is from RNAcentral.